CGCCCAGCUAAUUGUUUGUAUUUUUAGUAUAGACGGAGAUUUCACCAUGUUAGCCAGGAUGGUCUCGAUUUCCUUACCUCAUGAUCCCCUGCCUCGGCCUCCCAAAGUGCUGGGAUUACAGGCGUGAACCAAGGCGCCCGGCCGGAGUAGGAAUUUUAUGGGUUAUAAACUAAGGAUAUGGAGGUCGACUUGAGGAAGAAACCUGGAGUAUAAAAAUUCAGUUUGGAAAAAGACGUUUUGUCUCUUAAACUGAAGCACAUUCCUGCCAUUCAUUCGGACCAUACGAAGAUAAAACUAAAAACUUUUCUCUAAAGCUCCUGGUGAUGGUAGUUGAGUCAAUGAGCCACCAGCAACAACAAAGGACAAAAAGGAUUGAUCUGAAAACUGGUGCAGAAUACCUAUACUUGAAGGAAAGUAAGUUUAUUAGUGGAACACAGGAUUUGGAAGAUAAUGAUGUUUA
Molecule: long non-coding RNA, 460 nt
Filed under: Homo sapiens (human)
Lineage: Eukaryota; Metazoa; Chordata; Mammalia; Primates; Hominidae
Description: non-protein coding ZFHX4-AS1:10
Source: RNAcentral